RNAcentral lists this ribosomal RNA (415 nucleotides) under uncultured bacterium. Its description in RNAcentral is "bacterial SSU rRNA". It matches the Rfam family "Bacterial small subunit ribosomal RNA", at positions 30 to 429 of the family's 1533-position model. The record is from RNAcentral.
AGUGAACGCUGGCGGCAGGCCUAACACAUGCAAGUCGAGCGGCAGCGCGUCCGACCACCCUCGGGUGGUCGGAUGGCGGCGAGCGGCGGACGGGUGAGGAAUGCAUCGGAAUCUGCCUCGUUGUGGGGGAUAACGUAGGGAAACUUACGCUAAUACCGCAUACGACCUACGGGUGAAAGUGGGGGACCUUCGGGCCGUCACGCGAUGAGAUGAGCCGAUGCCGGAUUAGCUAGUUGGCGGGGUAAAGGGCCCGACCAAGGCGACGAUCCGUAGCUGGUCUGAGAGGAUGAUCAGCCACACUGGAACUGAGACACGGUCCAGACUCCUACGGGAGGCAGCAGUGGGGAAUAUUGGACAAUGGGGGCGAACCCUGAUCCAGCCAUGCCGCGUGUGUGAAGAAGGCCUCGGUUGUAAG